Molecule: unclassified non-coding RNA, 284 nt
Filed under: Glomus sp.
Lineage: Eukaryota; Fungi; Glomeromycota; Glomeromycetes; Glomerales; Glomeraceae
Description: partial contains 5.8S ribosomal RNA and internal transcribed spacer 2
Rfam family: 5.8S ribosomal RNA (bases 1-65)
Source: RNAcentral
GUGAAUCAUCGAAUCUUUGAACGCAAAUUGCACUCUCCUCGGAGAGUAUGCCUGUUUGAGGGUCAGCCUAUAAAAAAUCGACAUCGUUGCUGUUUCGCGUUGGCUUUCGUCGGUAAUGUGGUCAUUUUAAAUCCUUUUGAUUUAAGCGACUUAAAAUUUUCUUUUGGUUCCAUGAACGUUUCUAAGAUCUAUUUCUUUACACGUUUAAGUUAUCUAUUGUUACUAGACUUGACCUUCAAUUCGGAUCGCGUCCUUAAUCUUUCAUUAACUUGCUUCAGUCCGGU